RNAcentral lists this ribosomal RNA (484 nucleotides) under uncultured bacterium. RNAcentral's name for it is "bacterial SSU rRNA". It matches the Rfam family "Bacterial small subunit ribosomal RNA", at positions 30 to 507 of the family's 1533-position model. The record is from RNAcentral.
AUUGAACGCUGGCGGCAUGCCUUACACAUGCAAGUCGAACGGCAGCACGGGAGCAAUCCUGGUGGCGAGUGGCGAACGGGUGAGUAAUAUAUCGGAACGUGCCCAGUAGUGGGGGAUAGCCCGGCGAAAGCCGGAUUAAUACCGCAUACGACCUGUGGGUGAAAGCGGGGGAUCGCAAGACCUCGCGCUAUUGGAGCGGCCGAUAUCAGAUUAGCUUGUUGGCGGGGUAAAAGCCCACCAAGGCGACGAUCUGUAGCUGGUCUGAGAGGACGACCAGCCACACUGGGACUGAGACACGGCCCAGACUCCUACGGGAGGCAGCAGUGGGGAAUUUUGGACAAUGGGCGCAAGCCUGAUCCAGCCGUGCCGCGUGUGGGAAGAAGGCCUUCGGGUUGUAAACCACUUUUGUCAGGGAAGAAACGGUUUGACUUAAUACGUCGAGCUAAUGACGGUACCUGAAGAAUAAGCACCGGCUAACUACGUG